GCUUGGUGGUGGCUCUGGCCGGCCCGGAGCGGAGCUCUCUCCUGGGUUUUGGGCUCUCUCGCGGUUAACUGGAAUCAAUUACUUGCCUUGUCAUUUCUAGCACUCAUCCUUAAGCCUCAACCAAAAUAUUGACCUAGGAGGCUUACAGAAGUUGGGCUCUUGCCAUUUGAACCGGAUCUUGUUUAGGCAACCACCAACGAUGGAAAGGAGAGAUUUCCG
RNAcentral lists this long non-coding RNA (219 nucleotides) under Homo sapiens (human). RNAcentral describes it as "HSALNT0399958". Lineage: Eukaryota; Metazoa; Chordata; Mammalia; Primates; Hominidae. The record is from RNAcentral.